UGCGUAGGCGGGUUAAUAAGUCAGUGGUGAAAUCCUACAGCUUAACUGUAGAACUGCCAUUGAAACUGUUAAUCUUGAGUAUAGUUGAGGUGGGCGGAACGUGUUAUGUAGCGGUGAAAUGCUUAGAUAUGACACAGAACACCAAUUGCGAAGGCAGCUCACUAAACUAUUACUGACGCUGAGGCACGAAAGCGUGGGGAGCGAACAGGAUUAGAUACCCUGGUAGUCC
RNAcentral lists this ribosomal RNA (229 nucleotides) under uncultured bacterium. RNAcentral describes it as "partial 16S ribosomal RNA". It matches the Rfam family "Bacterial small subunit ribosomal RNA", at positions 568 to 796 of the family's 1533-position model. The record is from RNAcentral.